This is a ribosomal RNA of 402 nucleotides. It matches the Rfam family "Bacterial small subunit ribosomal RNA", at positions 355 to 774 of the family's 1533-position model.
UGGGGAAUAUUGCGCAAUGGGGGAAACCCUGACGCAGCAAUGCCGCGUGAAGGAUGAAGGUUUUCGGAUUGUAAACUUCUUUUGUGCAGGACGAUAAUGACGGUACUGCAAGAAUAAGCCACGGCUAACUACGUGCCAGCAGCCGCGGUAAUACGUAGGUGGCAAGCGUUGUCCGGAUUUACUGGGUGUAAAGGGCGUGUAGGCGGGACUGCAAGUCAGAUGUGAAAUCUAUGGGCUCAACCCAUAGCAUGCAUUUGAAACUGCAGUUCUUGAGUGAUGGAGAGGCAGAUGGAAUUCCCGGUGUAGCGGUGGAAUGCGUAGAUAUCGGGAGGAACACCAGUGGCGAAGGCGAUCUGCUGGACAUUAACUGACGCUGAGGCGCGAAAGUGUGGGGAGCAAACA